Molecule: ribosomal RNA, 694 nt
Filed under: uncultured bacterium
Lineage: Bacteria
Description: bacterial SSU rRNA
Rfam family: Bacterial small subunit ribosomal RNA
Source: RNAcentral
AGCGGCAAACGGGUGAGUAACACAUGGGAAACCUCCCUCAGAAUGGGGAACAUCUCCGAGAAAUCGGAGCUAAUACCGCAUAAGACCACAGUCCGGCAUCGGACAGGGGGUAAAAGCAGUAAUGCGUUUUGAGAUGGUCCUGUGUCCUAUCAGCUAGUUGGUGAGGUAACGGCUCACCAAGGCUAAGACGGGUAUCCGGCCUGAAAGGGUGAACGGACACACUGGAACUGAGACACGGUCCAGACUCCUACGGGAGGCAGCAGUGGGGAAUUUUGGACAAUGGGGGAAACCCUGAUCCAGCGACGCCGCGUGAAGGAUGAAGGCCCUUCGGGUUGUAAACUUCUUUUGGAGGGGACGAAUAAAUUGACGGUACCCUCAGAAAAAGCCACGGCUAACUACGUGCCAGCAGCCGCGGUAAUACGUAGGUGGCGAGCGCUACUCGGAAUUACUAGGCGUAAAGCGUAUGUAGGCGGUUGUAUAAGUCUAUGGUGAAAUUUCCUGGCUCAACUGGGAAGGGACAUAGAUACUGUAUGGCUUGAGUGUUGGAGGGGGAGACGGAAUUCCUGGUGUAGCGGUGAAAUGCGUAGAUAUCAGGAGGAACACCGAUGGCGAAAGCAGUCUCCUGGCCAAAUACUGACGCUGAGGUACGAAAGCUAGGGUAGCUAACAGGAUUAGAUACCCUGGUAGUCCUAGC